RNAcentral lists this ribosomal RNA (468 nucleotides) under uncultured bacterium. Its description in RNAcentral is "partial 16S ribosomal RNA". It matches the Rfam family "Bacterial small subunit ribosomal RNA", at positions 28 to 507 of the family's 1533-position model. The record is from RNAcentral.
GACGAACGCUGGCGGCGUGCUUAACACAUGCAAGUCGAACGGAAAGGCCCUGCUUUUGUGGGGUGCUCGAGUGGCGAACGGGUGAGUAACACGUGAGUAACCUGCCCUUGACUUUGGGAUAACUUCAGGAAACUGGGGCUAAUACCGGAUAGGAGCUCCUGCUGCAUGGUGGGGGUUGGAAAGUUUCGGCGGUUGGGGAUGGACUCGCGGCUUAUCAGCUUGUUGGUGGGGUAGUGGCUUACCAAGGCUUUGACGGGUAGCCGGCCUGAGAGGGUGACCGGCCACAUUGGGACUGAGAUACGGCCCAGACUCCUACGGGAGGCAGCAGUGGGGAAUAUCGCACAAUGGGCGGAAGCCUGAUGCAGCAACGCCGCGUGCGGGAUGACGGCCUUAGGGUUGUAAACCGCUUUCGCCUGUGACGAAGCGUGAGUGACGGUAAUGGGUAAAGAAGCACCGGCUAACUACGUG